Molecule: non-coding RNA, 87 nt
Organism: Podarcis lilfordi (Lilford's wall lizard)
Lineage: Eukaryota; Metazoa; Chordata; Lepidosauria; Squamata; Lacertidae
Source: the annotation of a GenBank genome assembly
UCUCUCUCUCUCUCUCUCUCUCUCUCUCUGUGUGUGUGUGUGUGUGUGUGUGUGUGUGAGAGAGAGAGAGAGAGAGAGAGAGAGAGA